UAAUGCCCCCAAUUAUACCAAC
This 22-nucleotide microRNA is filed under the name Lottia gigantea (owl limpet). Its description in RNAcentral is "Lgi-Mir-193-P2_3p (mature (guide))". Lineage: Eukaryota; Metazoa; Mollusca; Gastropoda; Lottiidae. The record is from RNAcentral.